Molecule: ribosomal RNA, 440 nt
Filed under: uncultured bacterium
Lineage: Bacteria
Description: partial 16S ribosomal RNA
Rfam family: Bacterial small subunit ribosomal RNA
Source: RNAcentral
CCUACGGGUGGCUGCAGUGGGGAAUAUUGCACAUUGGGGGAAACCCUGAUGCAGCGACGCCGCGUGAGUGAAGAAGUAUUUCGGUGUGUAAAACUCUAUCAGCAGGGAAGAAAAUGCCGGUACCUGAUUAAGAAGCCAAGGCUAAUUCCGUUCCGGCAGCGGCGGUAAUACGGAGGGUGCAGGCGUUAUCCGGAUUUAAUGGGGGUAAAGGGGACGUAGGCGGCAGGACAAGUAUGGAGUGAAAUGCCGAGGCUUAACCCCGGAACUGCUUUGGAAACUGUGCAGCUAGAGUGCAGGAGAGGUAAGUGGAAUGCCUAGUGUAGCGGUGAAAUGCGUAGAUAUCAGGAGGAACACCAGUGGCGAAGGCGGCUUACUGGACUGUAACUGACGUUGAGGCGCGAAAGCGUGGGGAGCAAACAGGAUUAGAUACCCCUGUAGUC